UCUGCUGGGAAGAGGCGGCCGUUCUCCUGGAAGCGGCACUGACGGCUCCGUCGCUGCCCACAGCUGCCCACAGGGCUGAGCGCUGUGCCGGGAUGAGCCGGGAGCAGCAGCCCGGGAGCAGGUCUGCUGGGCCGGACGGGCUGCAGCGAGAGGAGCAGCGGUUCCCAGGCGUGUUGCAGCCCGGGUUGUAUAUCGAGGGGCACAGGAAGGGGUUGGAGCUGGGACGGUGAGGAAGUGAGCAGAGGAGCUCAGCGUGCUCUGCUGCCCGCUUGGCUCUCUGGAACGCAGCGCAGCUGGGACUGCAUUUCUUCCUCUGGACCACGGGAGACACGAGAUGACCUCACAUUUCUUCCUCUGGACCACGGGAGACACGAGAUGACCUCGCUGCGCAGCUCUGCACGCAUGGAUCGAUGAAAGCUUUCAACUCCCCGAUGCCUCCUUUGGAGCGUCUUCAUGUGAAGCCUCCCAGGGGGCAAUUUUUACUGUCCUCCUCCUCGCCGGCAGCCCCCAGUUUCCCUUCGGGGACCCAGCGGGCAGCAUCUGCCUCUGACGCCCUUUCAGCGUUCCGUUGUGUGCGCUGAGCGCUUGGCUGAUGGCUCCCGUGGGGUUGUGCAAACCCCUCGCAAGGCUUUUGUUCAGGCUGUCCCGGCAGCUGCAGGUGCCUUCCGCGCACAGCUGCGGGCGCUGAGCACGUUCAGCAUCUGCACCAGCUGCGGCACUGGGCUCGUGUUCUGCUUUCCGUGCUCGCACGCUGCAGCGCUCCUUGCAUUUGCAUCCCAGGGCUCAGAGGGAACCCGAGUGCGGUGGUCUGACAGCAGCAGGCAGUGCCUUGCUCGCCCACUCCCCGAUGAGACAGUGGGGGGGGGGGGAUAUACGGUGAAAUGCUCACACUGUGGGCUGAAUUGAGCACACGCUGAGAACGUGCCUGAAUGGCGAGGACAGCUUUUCUAUAUUGUGAGAAUGGCGUUUUGCAUAACCUGGUGUAAGCUGUAGUACGAGAGGCUUGCGUGAAUGUAAGCUCAAGAACAGAACGUGGAGGAGGGCAUGGAGUUCGUUGUCAAGUGAAGGUAAGGCAGUAGAAUAGAUGUCCUGUUGUGAUGGCAAAACAGGUGCCUCAGCUCAAUGUAACACCAGUGGGAAGCGGUUUGGGUACUCCUCUUAAAAGGCUGGAAAUUUUCAUGGAGAAUGCAUCCCAGGACCACCAGAGAUGUUAAUUAUUUCUUGGAAUGUCUGCCCAUGUCCUUGGAGUCUAAUGAAUAUGUAUAGACCGUACCUUUCUGUAUGUAGUCACUGUUUCUCUUGGUGUGCAUGUCGAUCCCCCAUGCAGCCAGCGCUGUUGUAAAGGGAAUACCUGCUUGACAUAACUCAUUAGUGUGUCAAGUUACUCUGUCGGUUUUCUUGGCUCCAGUUGUCGAUCCAGGCCUGAGCAUCUCUGCUCAACUGUGGGACCCACUGAGAGGACUCCCUGUGCCCACCAGCAGCUUGUCUGGGAGGGACUCCAACUCUCAGGCAGAUCACUGCAGGAGCAAGCCAAAUCCUCUGGAUAAAGGUAUUCCCUAAGUCUGGAUUCUUUUCCUCUGGUUCUUUUCUUUGGUUAAGGCCUUGGGGAAAAGCACUCGUGAGCCAGGUUGGGCAGCACAGAGUGCACGGCAGUAAAAAUUGUGUGUCAGCCCUGAGGGCACCAAACUGGUAAUUUAUUUUGGCACGGGAUGGAAACCGUGAGUCUGCCUGACAGUUAACAGGGCUACGGCCCUGGCAAAGUAGCCGUGUUAGGAGGGACGUUUACAGUUUGGGGUAAAAUAGCUGACUGUAACACUGUACCGCCAGGGGGACUUGGCAGGAAAGUGACGAGUGGAACUUUGUGCACUGCCAUUUGUGGAAAUCGAUAGCUGCACCGUUCUGAACUGAGGUGGUCCUAACGCCGUCUACAUCUAUGAGCAGUUUCCAAAUAGCAAAUAUAGCCGCACUGCUAAAUUUACUACGCCAGCAAGCUAACCUAUUCAGUCGUGUAAAUGCUGCAGGUGCACCCCAGCCUGAGCCGCCAAGGCAGCCAUGGCAGUGGUUUCAGCAGCAGGUGCAGCUGUAAACUCAGACUGAGCGGACCGAACCUGCUGGUAUACCGUUGACACCUCUGAGCUACCACUAGGUAGCUAUAUCACUAGGUAGUGAUAGGACUAGGAGGAUCUUAUUUAAACUGAAAGGGGGCAGGUUUUAAGUUAGAUGUUAGGAAGAAAUUAGCAGUGUCCAGGCCAUCAGCAUCUAUGGAAGAUGCUGUGGGUAGGAAGCUAGCUAGAUUAUCAGGGGCUAACGUUACCAGUGAUAUGGAGUUCCUCUGGUCACAAAUUAAAACCACGAUCCCCCAGUGACUAGUAACUGUGCCAACAUGUUUGAAUGUUUUCAUUAACUGACUUGCUCUGUGAUGGCACAGAACGCAGUGUUGGUCCUUUUUCUUGAUGACUCAGAGCUCAAAGGUGUCCGUGGUUUAUGGGCUGGUUCCGCCUGGUUCCGUGACUAAUGGUAGUGGGGGGACUUCUUUCUACAAAGAGGUUGUCUGAGCAGCCAGGGAUCAGGUUAGGAUAGCUAAAACCCAGAUGGAAUUAAAUCUAGCCAGGGACAUAAAGAGGAACAAGAAGAUUCUAUAGAUACAUAAGCAACAAAAGGAAGGCCAGGGAAGAUGUGGACCCUCUCUGGAAGGAAGACCAGAGACCUGGUCACAAGGGAUAUAGAGACCUGGUCACAAGGGAUAUGGAGAAAGCUGAGGUGCUCAAUGACUUCUUUGCCUCAGUCUUCGUUGGCAAGGGCUCUAGCCACACAGCACAACCUGCAGAAAGCAAAGGUAAGAACUGGGAGAAGGAAGAUCUGCUGUCUGUAAGUGAAGAUCAGGUUCAAGACCAUCAAAAGAACCUGAAGGUGCACAAGUACGUGGGACCCAAUGAGAUCUAUACGCAGGUUCUAAGGAAACCGGCGGAUGAAGUUGCCAAACUGCUGUCCACCACAUUUGGAAGGUCAUGACAGUCUGGUGAAGUACCCACUGUUUGCAACAGUGCAGUUGUCCGACUCUAGAGGGUCAGUAAGUCAUAUCACGCUUGCUUAGGGAGCUUCUGCUUGCCGCAUAUAGGGCUAUCUAAGUGUAUGAAUGUGUGUGUGCAUGCCAAGGAAAUCUUGCAUCUGUUGGAAGCUGUGAAUUUACCGGAGAACAUUUUUGUUAUACAUUGUAGGGGACAUCAGAAGUGCAACCCUGUAGAGGAAAUUGGAAAUAAGAUGGCGGAUCAGGCAGCAAAGCAGGCAGCUGAAGGAAAAGAAAUUGGUGAACUGACUUUAAUUCCAGACAGUCAACUUCAGAUCUCUGAAUUUGAGUCAGAACCUGUAAAAUAUUCUAGAGUGGAUAGGAAUUAAUUUAAUGAAUGAUUUAGAAGGAAAGGAGCAAACUGACAGAUGGACAUACACACCUGAUGGAUGUGCUGUCGUGCCCUUUAGCAGCCUAUGGAAGUCGGUUCUAAGGGAACAUAAUAAAACUCACUGGGGAGUGGAUGCUAUUUAUAAGUAUCCGAACAAAGUAAUUGUCAGUUGCAAUCUGUAUAACGCAACGAAACAGGCUAUUCAUCAAUGUGAAAUCUGUCUGAAGAACAAUCCUAAUGCUAGAAGAGGGUACAAGUGGCAUCUAUCAGGACAGAGAACGUUCCAGGAAAACAAUGGCAAAUAACUUUUCAGAACUUCCGAGAAAACGGGAGUAUCAGUACUUACUGGUGCUGACAGACACUUUUUCAGGUUGUCCUGAAGCUUUUACUUGUAGAACAGAUAAGGUGAGAGAAGUUAGAUGAGUGUUAUUGAAUGAAAUAAUAUCUCAAUUUGGGGUGCGUGUCAUGAUAUCAUCAGGCAGGGGUACUCAUUUCUGUGAGCAAGAGGUACAGCAAGUCAGCAAAAUAUUGGGAAUUUAUCGGCAAUUGCACCUGUCUAUCAAAUUUGGAAUCAGACAGAAUUCAAGAAUAUAUUCAAAAGUUUAAUAAAACCUUUCAUGAAUCCAUAAUGAAAAUGAUAAUUACCCAAAAUGAACUGAAACAGAUUUCAUGGCAAACUGAGGCACAGACAUCUCAUCAUUGGUGGGACAUCUUUGUCGGGUAUUCCCUGAUAUUAUCGAAGGUAUCGGGCGUAUUAAUUCAUCCACUAUUAGUGCUGCUGGUGAUAAGUCUGAUAUUAACAAUUAUAAUCUGCUUCUUUUAGUAUAAACUUAAGAAAUAAAUCCAAAGGGUUUGGGCAUUGCCUACAGUGAUUAAGCAUGAGCAACAUGAGCUUUUGCAAAACAAUUUGCAAGGUUAUUGGAAACGGGGGGAACUGAUUUAAGAAAGAAUUAAACAAAAUAUUCUGUCAGUAUAUCCUUAUAAGAUUGUUGUGUAAUAUGGGUAACACUUGCAACACCAUAGUAGGCUUUUAGAUGUUAUGGGUGAUAAUUGUGAUGCCUCACUGUAAAUGAGGAGGCAUGCUGUGAGACUGAUCUGCUUCACCAUGAUACAGGUUAUCACAAUAUAGUUAAGCUUACCAGUGUUUGUUGAUAGAUACCCCUGCCCUGCAAUUUGUUUAGAUAACAGAAAGAGCUGUGACUCUGAACCAAGGAGAUAAGGAAGUCCUGCUGAGCCUUUGUACCAAGGACAUAGGAGGUCCUGCCUGGAAUCAGUCACUGAAUCUGUAACAUACUUCUGGGAAAACGUGCGUAUGUAACAUAGCUCUGAGAAACUUCCACGUAUGUAGCGUACCUCUUGGAAAACUUCUGCAGGUGUAACACAAGUUAUAUAUAUGAACUGAAGAUCUCUUGUGUAAGCUGUGCGUGAUAGGAGGAUUACCCCUGUGCAUCCAGCGCUGCCACUAAGAAUAUCUCCUUAAUGAUAGUAAAACUUUUGCUGUUAAGUCUCUCUGCAUCGAUUUCUUCUAAUGAAUUGGAAGCAAAAAUUGGGAAGAAUUAAGGGAAGAAUCUUCCCCAGCAAAGCCUUGCCAGGCGGGGAAGAUGAAACAAGCUGAAAUAGGAGAUCAGGUGCUUGGCAUUGAGUGCCCUCCCACCACCUCCACAGGAGGGGAGAGCCCUGGGGCGGGGCGGGAGGAGAUGGGACACAACACUCAUCUGUGUUCUUCCCGUUCUUCUUUCCUGCUACAGGUAUUACAAUCCUGGAAGCAAUGUUUGGGUUACUCUGGCUAAUGCAACUGGACAAGAUAUGCUAUGCGUAAGUACUGCAACCCCGUCAAACUCAGUUCCUGACCUGCCUGGUCAGAGUGCCACGGACUGAAAAUGACUCUCGUGUACUCCAGAACUUCCCAGAUUUACCCGGCCUGAAUGGCAAGGACAUGUGGCUUUCCUGCCAUGUGUUGGGGAAACUCCAGUUCUUACUCCUGAGGAACUCCGGAUGCUGGGGACACUGUACGCUGACUGUCGUACCACGCUCAUGCCUAACACGAGCUGUUGGCACACUGCCAGCUACCCAAGAGGUGGAGCCCCGACGACAGUUGUCUACUCAACAAAAGUGGGUUAUUGGAACGACUCAGUGUGGUGUAAUCACACUGCAAGUAAUGUAUCAAUGGGCUAUAACACCCCAAUGUCCCCGCCAAAGGCAGAUUUUUUAUCAGGGGGGAACAGGUUUGGGCAGGCAUACCUGCUGGGGCUCUGGGAGAGCCACGUACUGGUGAAUGACUACUUGUUUUUAUACCCAAAAUCACCAUGGCAAUUGCAUGGCAGUGGAAAAAAAAAAAAAAAAAAAAAGAAAGAAAACAACACAGACUCGGCGAUCCACCCAGGAAUUUUAUACUUACUCGCUGGAUUGUAAGUCCGAGUUUACAGCUGCACCUGCUGCUGAAAUCAUUGCCAUGGCUGCCUUGGCAGCCCAGGCUGGGGUGUGGCUGCAGCAUUAACACAGUUGAAUAGGUUAGCUUGCUGGCGUAGUAAAUUUAGCAGUGCUGCUACAUUUGCAAUUUGGAAACUGCUCAUAGAUGUAGACGGCGUUAGGACCACCUCAGUUCAGAACGGUGCAGCUAUCGAUUUCCCACUGCUUACCCAAGGCCGUGGAUGCCAGGCCUUUGAUGGACUCUGCUGCAUGAAGCUUUUGGACCAUUCCUAAUCCAUCCAAAGCCACCUGGAUGAAUUAAGGGAUCUUGCUGAUCAGCUGCAGGAGUCCUCAGGAUGGAAUCCUUUUUCAGCCUGGGACUGGGGAUGGGGAUUAUAGAAAAAGAUAGUAUGGAUAGGCUGUAUCUUGGACGUAUGUUUCCUCACUCUUCUGUGCAGUAUUCCAUGCUACUUACAACUUGUACAACAAGCUAUGGAAAGUGCUUUCUGUGGACUUGCAGCAAAAGUAGUGCAGUAACACCAUGUUCCAAACCAGGAUCACGCAGUGCCAUGUGUCAGGGAUCAGAAAGUUCUGACCAAAGAGUCAGAAGAGUUCCUGAGUUGGAACAAGGCAUUCUGGGAAGGUGGUUACAGCUGACUUAGCUUAUUUUGCUAGAAGCUGACCUUGCUGGUUUAUGUUGUUUCGCAAGAAGCUGAACUAGUUUUGCAGGAAGUUGCUCUGCUUCGUCUCUGUAUCCUACGCUGGCCACGCAGCUGCCGUGUGCAAAUGGAAAAAAACCCUGCAGACAGUGGGAGAGAAUAAAAGCAGGAGGGAGGCUAUGGUGGAUCCCGGGAGGACAAGUGCACCUUGAAACAGGGGAUGCACCGUGGGCACCAUCUACUGAAACCACUGUGGGCGUGUUCCAUCUCAUCCUCCUGCUCAGCACUUUGUCCGUCCCUAGGAGGUCGGUGAUUUCCAGUUAACCUCCAAGAGCUGCAUUGCUGCUUUCCUCACCCUUGUGUCUGAUUCAUCAGUGCACUCAGAAAUUACUGAGAAGAACACAGACACACAGAACGUUCCUACACAGCUGCUGUUCCUUAGGAACCAGCACCAAAAAGCAGCAGGCAGGAAGAGUGGAAGAAGAAAUGGGGCACGGUGACUUUCUUCUGUUAGCAAGGAAAGGCCAUCUGAAGCUCCUGUGUCUUACAGUUUUAUGGGGUGUUUUUUUUGCAUCAGAACACCACAUUCAUAGCAUCAUGCCACGGUGGGAGUCAGAGUUAAUGCUCCAUUUUCCAAAGAGAGGAAUGAACUAGAGCUCCCAGGGGCCAGGAAAAGGCACUACGCUUCCAGAAGACGUCAUUUUGUAACUUUCUGUCUUCUGCGGGGAGAGAAAAAAUAAGAGAACAGGGAGGUCACAAGAUCUCUCUCUUUUGCAGCUGGCUGCUAACUGCUACAGCUACAGUAACAGAUUUGGGUUUGAAAAACUCUCUCUCGCGCGCGCGUUUAUUAGCUUCAAUCCCAAUUAACUUGUCUUUCUCUAUUAUAAAUAGUCAACUAAGGUUUUUUCACCUCAGUUCAUUGCCGCUAUUUUUUUUUUCCUUUUGUUCCUUUUCUCUCCUGACUCCUUGCACACUGCCCUGGCAGAAACGUGCCACCUGGCAGAGGGUUUCCAGUGGUUGUGACACAUCCCACUCUGGACUUUCAUUUGCAUGUCCACACAGCAGCCUGUCUGCAGCUGAAAGAAGGCAGAAUGAAUAAUUUCCAUGCAGGUAAGGGGGAACAGGAUUUAGUUUGGCACCAGAGCUCUUCCUAUGCUCAAGGAAUUUGUAAAAUUCAUCACCACAGGUGGUGACUAGGCUGGGGCUUUGGCUGAAACUCUUCCCACGUUCAGGGCUCUGCAGGCUCUAUCUGCUGUGUGGAUGCGCUGUUGUAUUCUGAGAUUGGCACGGUUUUGGAAGCCCUUUCCACACUCCUGUGUCCAUGUGCCGGUGGUGCUUCAAACUGUAACUUCUGAAGUUCUUCCUGGACUCAGGACCUUUAUAGGGUCUCUCCCCCCUGUGGAUGUGCAGGUGCUGCUCCAAUUGUGAACUUCUUUUGAAGCUUUUCUCACACUCAGGACACUUAUAGGGUCUCUCUCCUGUGUGAAUGCUCUGGUGGCAAAUGAGUUGGGAUCUCCAUUUGAAGCUCUUUCUGCAAUCAGAGCACUUGUACAGGCGACCCUCUGAGAGCAAGCACUGGUGAUUAACAAGCUUGGAAUACCUUUUAAAGCUUUUCCCACACUCAGUGCAUGGAUUCUGCUUUUUCUUCUGGCACGCAUUCUUGCUCCCGUGGUCUUCAGGCUGCUUUUGACCCACGCUGAAGUCCACAGGGUUCCUUGCUCUCUUUCCCACAUGCCCUCCCAGUGGCUCCUCAAAGCGCUCUGCCUGCUCAAAGCCCACAUGGACAUCUCUUCCAAUUUCUUCCACACAGGCGCUACCCCACUGCUUUUCAGCCACACCACUUUCCUACAGAUCCUCCUUUAUAUCUGUGAUCCCAUCACCUCCUGGACGACAAAGAAAAUCCAGAAAUAGCACACGGUGCCCAGAAUAAAACACAGACAGAGAGGACUCUUCCAGCCCCAGCCUCCCCCUUCCCUCUCUCCAGCAACGCACCUGGGCUCAGGUCUCCUGGCACGGCCUCGGGGCUACGCACACCUGGGAUCCAGGGGUCUUCCCCUCCUUCAAGCAGGGAGAUCAGCCCGGGUUUGGGGGCUGGAAGUGGAGCUUCGAUGACAGAAAAAGGGGAGAUGAGAGCAUUUCAUUGAUUCUGGCACAGCUGCUUGUCCCACAAAUCCACACUGUGUCCCUUUAUACUGUGAAACCGCCAUUAGGGUGUGAAUGACACUAGGCCAAUACAUACCAGCUUCUUUCCUUUGAAGCACGGCAUUGCUAUUGUAUCUCUGAAAAUUAUGCAGGGGCAUGGUCCUCCCCAUCCUGGCUGAUGCUUGCUUGACAGCACUGACUCAGGGGUUUUUAUCACAGUGCUGAGCACUGAGCACAAGAAGGCCUCCUGAAACUCGUGCUCCUCUGUGUUUGUUUUAUUGCUCUUAUUGUGGUGUUAGUCAAUAUGUAACUGCAUGGCAGGUAUUCUAGGCCCGGCUUGCAGAGGCUCAUUCAGCACUGCCCAAGGAGCCCUAACGAGGAGGAAAGGCAACAAAGCCCUCACCCAGCCAGGCCACGCACUGGUACGUCUCCAGCAUCACGUCCCGGUAGAGCGCUCGCUGCGCAGGGUCCAGCAGCGCCCACUCCUCCCUGCUGAAAUACACGGCCACCUCCGCAAAGCUCACGGGCUCCUGCAAGCAAAGAGGCUCCUUGCUGGCAACAGCCAAGGCCCAGGGAAGCAGCUCGCACACGACACAAACUCCCGUCCAAGCCGCUUCUCCGUCCCCAGCACACGCAUGCUGACUGAGGGCACCUCCCUCUCCCCCUGCAUUCACAUCCCUCGCCCCUUGGCCUCUCCUGCCUGCUUCCCACAGCCCCUACCUGACACGGAUGUGCUGUGGCCAUUUGCUGCUCUCCUGCAGCCUGGGAUGAUCACGCCUGGAAGGCACAAGUUGAACUGGAGCCUGCAGGGACAAGAGAAAGGGCAGGAGAGCAAAACAAGGUUGAUCGGUGAUUCUCUCCCCCCACCCCGAGAAACAGGGAGGCUGCGGUGCCCCUACUUUGCGCAGCCACUGUCUACUGUGCGUGACAAGAGCAGUCGCUCAUCUGAAGUGCAUCUACACCAAUGCCCGCAGCUUGGGAAACAAACAGGAGCAGGUGGAAGCCACUGUGCUGCUUGAAAACCACGAUUUAGUUGCCACCAAAACCUGGUGGGAGCACUCCUACAGUGGGAGUGUGGCUAUUGAUGGCUACAAGCUGUUCAGAAGGGACAGACUAUGAAGGAAGGGUAGGAGUGUUGCUAUGUAUACCUGGAAUGGAAUAGAAUGUGAAGAGCUGUCCCUGUAGAACUGCCCUGAGCUGGUCAGAAGCCUAUGGGUGACACUGAGAGACCAAGGCAGAAAGGGAGCCUUGUGAUAGGUGCCUACUGCAGGCCACCAGAUCAAUCAGAGCCUGUCAAUGAGGCUUUCUACCUCCAGCUACGGGAGGUGUCAUGAUCACAAUUGCUCGUCCUGCUAGGGGACUUCAGCCACUCAGACAUCUGCUGGAAAAGUAGGACAGCAAGCUGUAAGUGAUCUAGGAGGCUCCUGGAAUGCACUGAGAAUAACUUACUGAUUCAAGUAUCCAGCAUGGAGGAUGCACUACUGGACCUGUUGCUCACCAGUGUACGUGAGCUGAGCAGUGACAUCAGAAUUGGAGGCUGCCUGGGCUGUAGCGACCAUGCUAUGAUUGAGGUCACGCUUUGGAAGGACGUGAGACAGGCAAAGAAUAAAAGUAGGGGGCUAAAAUUUAGGAAAGGCUAACUUCCAGCUCUUCAGGGAGUUAAUCCAAAACACCCUGGGAAACUGUCCUCAUGGGCAAGGGUGCAAGGCAGAUAUGGCAGAUCUUUAAGGAGGCUUUCUUCAGGGCUCAAGAGCUCUCCAUCCCAGAUGUGGCAAGUCAGGAAAGGAAGGCAAGAGACUAGCAUGGCUGAACUGGGACCCACUGGUCAAACUGAAGAGCAAGAACAGAAUGCACAGGCGGUGGAAACAGCGACAGGCAUAAGGAAGCUGCUAGACUGUAUAGGGAUGAGGUCAGGAAAAGCGAGGCCCAGUUUGAACUGAGCUUGACUAGGGAUGCCAAGAAGAACAAGAAAGGUACCUCAGUCAGAAGAGAAAAGUCCAGGAGGGCAUACCCACCCUAGUGAGAGACGCAGGCAGGCUGGUAACAACGGACAAGGAGAAGGCUGAGGUACGUACAAUGUUUUUUUUCCCUCGGUCUUCUCUGGUAACUGCUCACUGCACAGCCCUCAGACAUUUAUUUGGUUUGGUAGGAGGGGAUACAGGAAGCAACGACCCUCCCCCUGUAGGCAAAGAUCAGGUUCGUGACCACCUGAGGAACCUGAACAUCCAGAAGUCUAUGGGUCCCAAUGAGAUGCACCCCAGAGUCCCGAGGGAAUUGGCUGAUGUGGUUGCCAAGCCACUCUCUACAAAAUUUCAAAAGUCAUGGCAAUCAGCAGUAAGCCCUUGGUGGCUGGAAAAAAGGAAACAUCAUACCUAUUUUUAAAAAGGGUAAAAAAGAUUGCCUUGGGAACAACCGGCCUCUCAGUCUCACCUCUGUGCCGGGGAAGAUCAUGAAGCAGAUCCUCCUGGAAGCAAUGCUAAGGCACAUGGAAGGCAGGGAGGAGAUACGGGAGAACCAGCAUGGCUUCACCACAGGCAAAUCCUGUUUGACCAACCUAGUGCCCUUCUGUGAUGGUGUCACCGUAUCAAUGAACAAGAGAAGAGCCACUGAUGUCACCUAUCUGGACUUCAGCAAGGCCUCUGACACAGUACCCCACAGCAUCCUUCUCUCCAAAUUGAAGAGACAUGGAUUUCACAGGUGGACUGUUUUAUGGACGAAGAACUGGCCGCAGGAGAGUGGUGGUCACUGGCUCAGUGUUUGGAUGGAGACCAGUGAUGAGUGGUGUCCGCCAGGGGUCAGUGGUGGGGCUGAUACUCUUUAAUAUCUUCCUCAGUGACAUCAACAGUGGGCUCAAGUGCCCCCUCAGCAAGUUUGCUGAUGACACCAAGCUGUGGGGUGCAGUCACACAUCAGAGGGACAGGAUGCCAUCCAGAGGGACCUAGACAGGCUUGAGCAGUGGGCCCAGGUGAACCUCAUGAUGUUCAGCAACCCAAGGGCAAAGUCUUGCACCCGGGUCGAGGCAACCCCCAUUACUAAUACAAGGUGGGGGAUGGAAGGAUUGAGAGCAGCCCUUCCGAAAAGGACCUGGGGGUACUGGUGGAUGGCAAACUGGACAUGAGCCAGCAAUGUGCUCUCGCAGCCCAAAAAGCCAACCUUAUCCUGGGCUGCAUCUAAAGAAGCAUGGGCAGCAGGACGAGGGAGGUGAUCCUGCACCUCUAUUCUGCACUGGUGAGGACACACCUGGAGUACUGUGCCCAGAUGUGGAAUCCUCAGUACAGGAAAGACAUGGACCUGUUGGAGUGCGUCCACCAAAGGG
Molecule: long non-coding RNA, 11924 nt
Organism: Gallus gallus (chicken)
Lineage: Eukaryota; Metazoa; Chordata; Aves; Galliformes; Phasianidae
Exons: 4
Source: RefSeq, a predicted model, not a curated record